UGUAAACGUUUUUAAACCUGUCAGACGACGGAAUUGUCCCGAAAUUACAUGUUUUUUCAAGCACUUGGACAAGUUGGCAAAUUCCAGAAGAAAUUGAAAAACAGUGUGACUGACUAAUGAAGACAGAGAUGUCUGGUCUUCAGUCACUGUUGCUUUCCAUCACACUGAGCAGAGAUGUCUCAAUCUAUCAAUGUUGAAGCCUUGAUGAGUCGCCAGCAAUCUGCUUUCUCUAUCCAAUCAAUGUCCUGAUUUACAGAUGAACUGAUGAAGACCGCAGAAAUGUCCGAUCUUCAUUGAUGGAUGGCUGUCAAUCACACUGAGCAGAGGAGUCUCAAUCUAUCAAUGAUGAAGUCUGUGAGAGUCUCCAGCAGUCUGCUUUGACAACUCAAUCAACUUCACAUUUAAAGAUCAAGUGAUCCAAACUGCGGUUGUCAGAUCAUCAUUCAUAGUGCUGUCCAGAUUGUCAGAUCAUCAGCCAUAGUGGCAGUCCUUGUUGCACAGAGAACUUCCUGUCUACAGAUCAAGUGAUCCAAACUGCGGUUGUCAAAUCAUCAGUCAUAGUGCUGUCCAGAUUGUCAGAUCAUCAGUCAUAGUGGCAGUCCGUGUUGCACAGAGCAGAAGUGAUGCUGAAGACUAGUGUCCAGCAAUCUGCGACAUGACAACUCAUUCAAUUUCCUGUCUACAGAUCAACUAAUCAAGUUAGUUGAGAGUGUCAGAUCUUCAUUCAGAGUGGGAGUACCUCUGCCUUAAACACAUCAAUCAACUUUACAGAUCAACUAAAUCCAGACGGAGAGUUUUGGAUACUCACAAGGAGUUUUCAGCCCAUCAAACAACCAUCACCAUCGUUGCCUCAACCUUUUUGUAUAGUUUGUAAUUAGUUGUAGAUUACUGGUAUAGAUUUAAGGUUGUUAGGUGUGGUGAAUUGAUCACACUCGCCCCUGUGAAAUUCUGCACUUCCCCUGUGUUGUGAAUUUCUUGCACAUCCAACUUGUCUUGUGAAUUUCUCCCACUUCCACUGUGGUGAGUUGCUCAUACUUUCACCUUGUGUCAUGAAUUAUCAAGUUGAUAAACUGAAACGUUGUCUAGGGCUGAGUUGGAAGAAUGUUUUGCUAUCUAUUCUAGCACAUUCAUUUCGCUCAUUUAAUUUAGAUGUAUGCUGAUGUAUGGAGUUGACAAACUUGGUUGCCAUAUAGUGGAACCGGUAUGGGAAUUUUUCCCCCACAGGGGUUUUUGCCCAUCUCAUAUAUCGGCAAUAGCAGGCAUGCAAUAUCUGAUUUGUAUGGUUUUGGUUUUCUCAGCCAUUAAAACAUUUAAAAAGGCAGCACAAAAUCUUGCUGUGCUUGGAUUUCUGGAAAUGUCAAAUCUUUUAUCAAAAUAUAGAGUUGCAUGACUGAAAUAGGAGACACUCUUGUGUCUAAUUUCUUAGGAGUCAAACAAAAUUUGACAUAAUACCAGUUUUUUUAUGCAAUAUCUGAUUUGUAUGGUUUUGGGUGUUUAACAGCCAUUAAAAUGUUUAAAAACACAGCACAAAAUCUGUGCUUCGAUUUCUGGAAAUGUCUUUUAUCAAAAUAUAGAGUUGCAUGACUGAAGUAGGAGACACUUUAGUGUCUAAAUUCUUAGCAGUCAAACAAAAUUUGACCUACCUAAUACUAGUUUAUUUAUUUGUUGAAUAUUUUGGUAGAUUAUAUCAACGUUUCUGGGUGUGCCAGGGUGCAUCACACUUUGUGUGUUGAGUACAGACACUUUCCCUUGUGUUACUCUGAGUUGCUCACACUUCCUUUGUGUGAGUAGCUCCCACGUCCUUAGUUUGUUGAGUACACAUACCUAACCCAGUUACUCUGAGGUGCUCACACUUCCUUUGUGUGUUGAGUACAGACACUUUCCCUUGUGUAACUCCGAAUUGCUCACA
Molecule: long non-coding RNA, 1909 nt
Organism: Asterias rubens (European starfish)
Lineage: Eukaryota; Metazoa; Echinodermata; Asteroidea; Forcipulatida; Asteriidae
Exons: 7
Source: RefSeq, a predicted model, not a curated record